RNA transcript from Lates calcarifer (barramundi perch), 3586 nucleotides. It is a transcript of the gene named transmembrane O-mannosyltransferase targeting cadherins 4, with no coding region annotated. The transcript is spliced from 19 exons. The record is from RefSeq and is a predicted model, not a curated record. Lineage: Eukaryota; Metazoa; Chordata; Actinopteri; Centropomidae.
GACGCUAAACAGGGAAGUGCUGGAGUCUGAGCGUGUACAUUUGUUUACAGCAACCAGUUCACCGUCUGCACCUCGCCGUGUCUGCUUUAUGCGAAUGAAAAUCUUCAGUUGUCGGCAAAAUAUUUCGAGCAUAUAGCGCGUGUUAUCGAUACAGUCCAUUCCCGCGCGUCGUCACGUUUAGGCUGUGCAGUAAUGGGAAUAGCACCCGCUAACAAGACAUGCUAAAGUCACGCUUUAUUAGCUUGCUAAAUUCCAGAGUACCCUUCACGUUACACCGUCAUGUAAUCGCCUGUGACAAAGUAAUUGUUUCGCCUCACUAUUACAAAGUGUAAAGCUAAUCACCAGGUUGGUUUGCAGACACAAUCCUCGCCUCUUUCACCGGGUUAACGUUUACGUUUACUAGUUAGCCAGCCGGUAGGGCAGCUAACAUGGGAGUUACACAAGACAGGGUGACCUCUCACAUCAUGUCUCUCAAAAGAUAAGGUAUGAAUCCAUCCAGUGUAUAAAGAGCGUGAUUUUAUUAUUCAGUCAGCUAUCAGUUUUUACAGCCCAUGAUUUAGAUAGCAUUUAUAGCAGCUGACACAGUAUGACUGUGUGUGCCUGCACCCAUCCUCCUCCACCUGCUGUGAGAGAAUGACCAAAGACCCAGUGCAUCAUGGCAUUGUCUGAAGUUUAUUGGGAUCACCAAAUACCCCUGCCAAAGCUUGCUCCUGUCCAGGCCAAGGUCACAGUUGCCCUGGUGGCACUCCUGUGCUUCAUUAACAGCUAUGACGGGGAGUUUGUGUUUGACGAUUCGGAGGCAAUCGUCAACAACAAGGACUUGAAACCAACAACGCCACUGAACAACAUCUGGACCAAUGACUUCUGGGGAAGCAACUUGAGUAGCAACUCUAGUCACAAAUCCUACCGACCUCUCACUGUCCUUACAUUUAGGCUGAACUACCUCUUGGCAGGGGGCCUGCACCCUGUUGGCUUCCAUGUGCUGAACAUCAUCCUCCAUGCCGUCAUAUCUGCCCUCAUGAUCGAUGUGUUUGCUAUACUGAUUGGUGGACUGGCUUAUGAUGAGAAGGAUAGGAUCCUGAACAACGCCCCCAAGACGUCUCUACUUGCUGCCCUCCUCUUUGCUGCACACCCAGUCCACACAGAAAGCGUGGCUGGUAUAGUGGGCCGAGCAGACCUUUUAUGUGCUCUGUUCUUCCAGCUCUCUUUCCUCACCUACUGCAAAGCUUUCAACAGGGGGAGUGACAGAGAUGACAGGUUUUCUGUCCAGUGGGUUGCGGUCAGCCUCUUGCUGUGUGCUGCAGCAAUGCUCUGUAAAGAACAAGGCAUCACAGUCUUGGGUGUGAAUGCAGCCUUUGAUGUCCUCCUGAUCUGUAAUGUUAAUGUGUAUGAACUCAGCCAGAGGCUACUUCUUAGGAAGAAUCCACUCAAUGUAAGUGAUAUGUUACGAACGGGACUGCUAACACGAUUGGGUCUCAUGGGUCUUGGAGGACUCUCAAUGCUCUAUGCACGCUGGAGGAUCAUGGGAACAGGACCACCAGCAUUCACUGAAGUGGACAACCCUGCCUCUUUUGCAGAAAAUAUAUUUCUUAGAAUAGUGAACUAUAAUUACUACUACUCUCUGAAUGCCUGGCUGCUGCUGUGUCCCUGGUGGCUGUGUUUUGAUUGGUCCAUGGGCUGUGUGCCUCUCAUUAAGACAGCCACUGAUUGGAGGAUGGUGUGGCUGCUGCUGCUCUGGUGCGUCCUGAUAGGCUUGAUAAGCCAAGCCUUAUGCUCGCAGGACAGCCAGAGAAGGAGGACACUGACCUUGGGUCUGGUGCUGCUGGUGGUUCCUUUUCUGCCAGCCUGUAACAUUUUUUUCAGGGUGGGCUUCGUCAUUGCUGAGAGAGUGCUCUACCUGUCUUCAGCUGGCUACUGCCUACUGCUGGCCUACUCUCUGGGACAUUGCUGCUUUCGCUGGACCAAAUACAGGAAGCUGCUGUGUGUGUCGGUGCUCGCACUGUUGUGUGUGUAUGUAGCUCGCUGUGCUCUCCGCAGUCACCAGUGGCGGUCAGAGCAAAGUCUCUUCACCAGUGCCCUGUCUGUCUGUCCGCUCAAUGCCAAGGUCCAUUACAAUGUCGGUAAGAACCUGGCUGACAAAGGAAACACCACUGCUGCUAUCAGAUAUUACAGAGAAGCAGUCAGGCUACAUCCUACCUACGUCCAUGCCAUGAACAACCUGGGGAAUAUCCUGAAGGAGAGGAAUGAACUGAUCGAGGCAGAGCAGCUUUUGUCCAAAGCCGUUUCUAUUCAGCCUGACUUUGCUGCAGCUUGGAUGAAUCUGGGAAUUGUUCAGAACAGCCUGCAGAAAUUUGAGGAAGCAGAGCAGAGCUACUGGAACGCCAUCCGCUUCCGGAAAAAAUACCCAGACUGCUACUAUAAUCUGGGACGCUUGUAUGCUGACCAGAACAGACACGUUGAUGCCCUGAACGCAUGGAGAAACGCAACCGUCCUGAAACCUGAUCACAGCCUGGCUUGGAACAACAUGGUCAUUCUGCUGGACAACACUGGUAACUUGGGUCAAGCAGAGUUGAUCGGCCGAGAGGCUCUGAAGCUCCUCCCCAACGACCACACUAUCAUGUUUUCAUUGGCCAACGUCCUGGGGAAAUUACAGAAGUACAAGGAAUCAGAGGGCUUCUUCCUUCACGCUCUUCGAAUCAACCCAAAUGCUGCUAGUUGCCAUGGCAAUUUAGCUGUGCUGUAUCAUCGCUGGGGUAAGCUGGAGCUGGCAAAGAAACACUAUGAGCUGUCUCUUAAGUUGGACCCCGAGGCUCCCGGGACCAGAGACAACUACAACAUGCUGCGACGCAAACUGGACCAGCUUAAACGCAGCACGCCCUGAGGGAGCCUACUGGAACCCCUGCCCACCGUGAUAGUGGCAGUGCACAAAAUGUGAAAACACUGCACAAGAUUUGUGAGAGAGAGAGAGUACAACCUGAUCUUCAGGCACCCGCUCUUCAUCCAUCACUGCCACCAGAGUCACUGCUUCCUCCUGGGUUGCCUCUAACUCAUCCUGGAAAGACCCUGAUUACAGAUUCUCUGACAACAGGUUGUAACAGGAAAAACAACUGGUCAAGAUGCUCAAUGAUUUCCUGUGUUGCUCCCUGUGAUACAUGGAGAAUCAUUUUUCAAGAAGAAGGCAGCAAGAUUAUACUGAAACUGCUCAUCUACUCCCUCAGCUUUGUCAGUUUCAUCAGAAACCUCUGCUGGAUAAUGUUCAUUGUCACUUAUAGAUUUACAUUCGACAGAUCUUGCACUACAAUUGUUAUUAUACCAUGCAUCUGUGUGCAUUAUAUGGCGAGUAAACAUUUAUUUUUACUCAGUCUUAAAUGCCCCCUCAGAUGAACAAAACUGUCCCUUUCAUGAAAUGGUUGCUUAAACACUGAUAAACAGUCCAAAAUGUGCUAAAUGUACACAUGCAGUUGUUGGAAUACUGGUCAGCUGCAGUCUGCAAUGUCUCAAUAACUGCACUAGAUAAGCCACACAACUUACAUUUCCCAUGAUUUGUUUCUCUCUGAUAAUUAAAGCAAUAAUAAAUGUAGUUUGA